This 73-nucleotide small RNA is filed under the name Yersinia enterocolitica. RNAcentral's name for it is "partial RtT sRNA". It matches the Rfam family "RtT RNA", at positions 55 to 130 of the family's 130-position model. Rfam says of the family: This family represents a bacterial cis-regulatory element known as RtT RNA. The record is from RNAcentral. Lineage: Bacteria; Pseudomonadati; Pseudomonadota; Gammaproteobacteria; Enterobacterales; Yersiniaceae.
AAGCGAGACAGCAACGCGCAGCGUUGACCCGAAGGGCGAGUCCGGAGGACGAGUCAUCCCGCACGACCCACCA